GUCAACACCAGCCAGCUGCCUGCUGCCACCGCCCACAGGUGACUGCCUCCUGCGGUGACGCUGGCACAUGCGGAUAGAUGGCAGGUUAUUCACUUAGGAGGCGUCCGAAGAGCUUCUCCUAAGACUGGAAAGGUGCUCGAAGUCCUGGCAGGCACCCUGGAGGCACACACGAACGGUUUCUCCGCCUUCUCUCCGUGUGACUCCCGUUAGCAUAGCUCGUAGAAGGAUGACCGAGGUGGGCUCUGUUACUCUGAGCGGCUCACACCGGUCACUGCACCCAACCUGAGCUACCAGCACAUGAGGACGUGGAAGCACAAACGGGGCCAAGAGCCAGAGCUGCACAUUCUGCUUAGGGUUCUUGGGCUGGGUCUGUUCUCUCAGCUGCUGGAAACGUCUCUAGAGGACGCCUUUCUGGACUCACCUUGAUGGAGACGAUGCGGCCUGGGCUGUUAUCAUGCAUGAAGACGCGGAGCAUGUGUGGGAUCAGCUGGGGCAGGUAGAGCUUAAAUUCACCCCCAAGAGCUACCACAAUUUGCUCAAUGAGAAGAAUGAUUGUGCUCUGGAUCGAGGUGUUCAUGACCCAGAAUUCCUAUGAAGAGGGAAAAGAGUGAGAAGCGAAGCCAAGUGCCUUUCUGCUGAACUAAGAAGUAAGGAACGGAGAUGGCCCCAAAGAAGCAAAACUGUAGUGAGCAGUUGGCCCCGGGAGGGAGUCCUUCCCCGGCCUCCUCUCCCCAGGGCUCUUCGUAUCCUAGCUCAUAGUCACAGUGCACAAAUUAAACUGCAUUUUACCAAAAGCACCAGGCUCCUCCACUCCUCUGUGCUUUGCUUGUGCUGUUCUCUGCCUAGAGCUCCUCCUCUUGCUCAGCUAAAGCCCCACCUGUGUUUCUAGACCCGGCUCAAGCCUCACUUCUAUGGGGGCUUUCCCGUUCUGUUACAUACUCUGGGUCCCCUUGCCCCCUCUUUUCUAGCACCUGCAAGAACUUCACUUUGCCCCCUUCUCUCUACUAGACUGUAAACUAGUUAAGGGCAGGAAGCCCCUCUGAGCCACCUCUGUCUCCCCAGAAUCUCACACAGCACCUGGCAUAGUCCAGCCACCCAAACACACGUUUACAGAGUGAGUGAAUGGUUUACUUCACUCGAGGGGCUCUCAGGUUGCCUCCGGUAGAUUCUUUACUUUGGGUACCAUCCAGUAUCCAGCAGAGGGUGAUCCCAGUGUUAAGUUUCCUGCCCUUUCUGGAUUUAGACUUUGCGAGAUAUAGGUAGCGCCUGACAUUUGUCCCAAAUCAUUUUCAGGCCUGGAUAAUGCCACAAAAGGAGUACUUUUUCUAUACCCACGAAGUUAUGUUCCACGUAAGUUACCAAAAUAAAAACUGGGCCAAAUGGCCACAGGAUCUGGCUCGGUACCUAAACUGGUCUGAGUUUCUGACUCUAGGAAAAGCUGUCACUUCAAAUCAACUCAAAAAGAAACUUGCCUACUGCCUUGUUUGAAACCUCCAGAGAAGGAGACUUGAUGAUGAUAGAAGCCCUAAUGAUGAUGGCAACACAUGCAUAUUCAUACUUUGGGGCCCUCAACUAAAAAAAGAAAGACAGAACUCCUCAGAAGUAAGGCUUUACAGAAGCUUGAAGUAUUUUUAUUUAAAAAGUGUCUUAAAAAUCCUAACAGUUUAGAAAGUAAAAACCAUAUUAAAAGAUGCUGGUAAAACAUUCCCUCUGCUUGGAGGGAGAAGUAUUCUCUCUGAAAAAGGCUAUUUUCUCUAGAUAAAAACCUUUGCCAAAGAAACACUUGAGAUGUUACACCCCCACAGUUUGUCUGAUGUGCAGUCGCUUAGCCCGCACUCUGCCUUCUUUGGACAGAGUCCGCUUGCCGUCUCCACUGUAUUACUAUUGGCUGCUUACAGGGGCUUCUCUACCUCAAAGAAGCCAGGCAGCCUGCCCAGGGAUCGCUGUUCUCAUCCCAGGCUCAGGGGUGCUCAUUAAAAUGCCCAGGAUGGGCAGUCAGAGGAAGAGCCCCUGGUGCACCUCAGCCACCUUGGAGGAAAUGAAAGCUGCGUUUUGCAGGUAUGAAGCUCCCUGUCUCAAACUCCCACGUUUUGGUCCGAAGCCUUUUCUGGGGUCUAAGUCUCUGAUUGGUGCUGCUUGGCUACCCCUGGCCCCUCGCCCACGCGGCCCGCAGCCCUCCAGCACUGCGCUCGACAGAGGCCUCCGUGGCAGGAGUCUGAGAGCCGCACGGUUUUAAUUAUUUGUACAGACAGGAGUUUUUCAGUUCUGAGACCCAGUUUCAGGGAAGUUCCAGUUUUGAAGUGAGCCACUUUGAUUUUAGUCCUGCGGCUUCCUCCAGCUGACUACAAAGGGCUGGCAGAGAAGAGCAGAAAUCAGGGAAGAAUUGUCUUCCAAUUCUUUGAGGGCACAGCCAUCUCUGCAAAGCAAGCUUCCCAACAGAGACAUUUAAAUGAUACAGAACAGCAGGAAGCAGGCCUCCUCCUCAGACAGAAAAACGAUAUUGCCACCGACGACCGGGGAAUCUUCCGCACCUGCUUAAAGCAGGUUAUAAAAUCUGGGACGGGAGCCUUUCCUCUUUCCUCGGGUGCUGCUGCAGUCGGAAGGUGGCAUUUACGCUCUGGAAGGCGGUGGGGUAAAGCCUCGCCUUCCUCCUCAGUGCCUGACAGGAGUUCAUCAUAUUUAAUAGUGCUAAUCCCCAAACCUCUCUUAAGGCCACGGUUUUAUGGGCCGUACGAAGGAAGGCUUUCAUGGGAACAGUAAAGCACUGUUGUGAUAUUAAAGUGAAAUUGCUUUGUUGUGUGCGAGGCAAAGAACUCGAGAGUCUAUUUCUGGCAAAACAAUAACUUCAGGACUUUUCCUCCGACUUCACACCUCAGGUGCUGGAGCCUGUGGCAGCUGCCCCCCGCCCUUGUCAUCACCCACCGGGGACCCUUGUCCCACAUUUUACACUCCGGAUGUCACAGCUUUACGAAGACCCAGGACAAAAAUGUCCAUGCUCUCCCAACCUGCCUCUGCAGGUGCCUUGACCCAAACACUGAAGGACCGGCCAAAGCACUAACUUGUACUCACUCUCAUGAGGGUGACUAUUUCAUCCAUGUAAGGUCUGAUGUGGCUCUUCACAAAGGACACCAACAUUCCCAGCUGCUGGAACAGGAACUGCAGCGGAGAAGAGGGCAGAGAGCUGGCAUCAGGAAUGACGGAGAACUCCCAGGGUUACCCGAAGUCCGUGGGAACAAACACAGCUAUGCAAUCCGUUUCCACCACAUCCAUUUUCUGAGAUCAAGUCUUAAAAAAACCAGACUGAAACCCUUUGGCGGUGAUCGCAGUGGGGACUAGAAACAACUCUCAGUGGUUUUACACCCCGCCCCCAGCCUGACCGCACCGCAAGGGCUGCAAGGGCUGCAAGGCCACACUGGCCGUCGAGAGCCAUGAUGCCACCUCGGCUCUGUGACCUUCAUUUAACCUCUCUGCCCUGGGCCUGUUCAGGGGCAAGAGGCAGAUAACAGUACCUGUCUCCGGGCUCCCUUGAAAUUAAGUGGAGAACCCCUGGGAAGCACCAGCAGCGGGAUGUGAGGCCUCUCAAGUGCUACCACCGAAGGAUUUGCCGGGUGACUCAGACUUCACAAUGGACACGAGACUUUUCAUCAACUAUAAAUGUAUCUUUUGUCUCUUCAGUUCUAAUUUACUACCACUUACUUUCUAAAUAAAUACAGUGACAUAUGA
Molecule: long non-coding RNA, 3723 nt
Organism: Canis lupus familiaris (dog)
Lineage: Eukaryota; Metazoa; Chordata; Mammalia; Carnivora; Canidae
Exons: 2
Source: RefSeq, a predicted model, not a curated record